UACCCGCAGCACAAGUGGUGGUCAUUAUUAUUGGGCCUAAAGCGUCCGUAGCUGGCCUGUUAGAUGCCUGGUAAAUCGAUGCGCUCAACGUAUCGAACUCCGGUAGACCGGCAGGCUUGGGACCGGGAGAGGCGUGAGCUACUCGAGGGGUAGGGGUAAAAAUCCUGUAAUCCUUCGGGGAGGACCAGUGGCGAAGGCGUCACGCUACG
This 209-nucleotide ribosomal RNA is filed under the name uncultured bacterium. Its description in RNAcentral is "partial 16S ribosomal RNA". It matches the Rfam family "Archaeal small subunit ribosomal RNA", at positions 474 to 684 of the family's 1478-position model. The record is from RNAcentral.